GAGGUGGGAGGAUUGCUUGAGCCCAGGAGUUUGAGGUUGCAGUGAGCUAUGAUGAGGCCACUGCACUCCAGCCUGAGUGACAGAGCAAGACCCUGUCUC
This is a microRNA precursor of Propithecus coquereli (Coquerel's sifaka), 99 nucleotides long. The record is from Ensembl. Lineage: Eukaryota; Metazoa; Chordata; Mammalia; Primates; Indriidae.